AGCGGCGGACGGGUGAGUAACGCAUAGGAAUUUACCCGGUAGUGGGGGAUAACCUGGGGAAACCCAGGCUAAUACCGCAUACGUCCUACGGGAGAAAGGGGGCUUUGGCUCCCGCUAUCGGAUGAGCCUAUGCCGGAUUAGCUGGUUGGUGAGGUAAUGGCUCACCAAGGCGACGAUCCGUAGCUGGUCUGAGAGGAUGAUCAGCCACAUCGGGACUGAGACACGGCCCGAACUCCUACGGGAGGCAGCAGUGGGGAAUAUUGGACAAUGGGGGCAACCCUGAUCCAGCCAUGCCGCGUGUGUGAAGAAGGCCCUCGGGUUGUAAAGCACUUUCAGCGAGGAAGAACGCCUGUCGGUUAAUACCCGGCAGGAAAGACAUCACUCGCAGAAGAAGCACCGGCUAACUCCGUGCCAGCAGCCGCGGUAAUACGGAGGGUGCAAGCGUUAAUCGGAAUUACUGGGCGUAAAGCGCGCGUAGGUGGCUUGAUAAGCCGGUUGUGAAAGCCCCGGGCUCAACCUGGGAACGGCAUCCGGAACUAUCAGGCUAGAGUGCAGGAGAGGAAGGUAGAAUUCCCGGUGUAGCGGUGAAAUGCGUAGAGAUCGGGAGGAAUACCAGUGGCGAAGGCGGCCUUCUGGACUGACACUGACACUGAGGUGCGAAAGCGUGGGUAGCAAACAGGAUUAGAUACCCUGGUAGUCCACGCCGUAAACGAUGUCGACCAGCCGUUGGGUGCCUAGCGCACUUUGUGGCGAAGUUAACGCGAUAAGUCGACCGCCUGGGGAGUACGGCCGCAAGGUUAAAACUCAAAUGAAUUGACGGGGGCCCGCACAAGCGGUGGAGCAUGUGGUUUAAUUCGAUGCAACGCGAAGAACCUUACCUACCCUUGACAUCCUGCGAACUUGUGAGAGAUCCCUUGGUGCCUUCGGGAGCGCAGAGACAGGUGCUGCAUGGCUGUCGUCAGCUCGUGUUGUGAAAUGUUGGGUUAAGUCCCGUAACGAGCGCAACCCUUGUCCUUAUUUGCCAGCACGUAAUGGUGGGAACUCUAAGGAGACUGCCGGUGACAAACCGGAGGAAGGUGGGGACGACGUCAAGUCAUCAUGGCCCUUACGGGUAGGGCUACACACGUGCUACAAUGGCCGGUACAAAGGGCUGCGAACUCGCGAGAGCAAGCGAAUCCCUUAAAGCCGGUCUCAGUCCGGAUCGGAGUCUGCAACUCGACUCCGUGAAGUCGGAAUCGCUAGUAAUCGUGCAUCAGAA
RNAcentral lists this ribosomal RNA (1258 nucleotides) under Vreelandella gomseomensis. RNAcentral describes it as "bacterial SSU rRNA". It matches the Rfam family "Bacterial small subunit ribosomal RNA", at positions 94 to 1354 of the family's 1533-position model. Lineage: Bacteria; Pseudomonadati; Pseudomonadota; Gammaproteobacteria; Oceanospirillales; Halomonadaceae. The record is from RNAcentral.